This 225-nucleotide long non-coding RNA is filed under the name Citrus x clementina. RNAcentral describes it as "Citrus clementina (C. clementina) long non-coding RNA (CCLE_LNC001549)". Lineage: Eukaryota; Viridiplantae; Streptophyta; Magnoliopsida; Sapindales; Rutaceae. The record is from RNAcentral.
GAUCAACUAAUGUUAUUUUAGUAACUUGCAAUAAUCAUUCUGAUUCCCAGACAAAGUAAGCAUAUAAAUGUUAAUACAACUCAUUUCGAUUUUGAUUCCUACAAGUAAAGUAAACAAUUUAUUCUGAUUCUCAUUCUCCAUUCGGAUUCUAUCAUACUCUCAUUUCAAUCCAUUCCGAUUACCGAUUAGUAAAUGCACCAUAAUAAUAUUAAAAUACUUUAUAUU